RNAcentral lists this ribosomal RNA (429 nucleotides) under Pseudomonadota bacterium. Its description in RNAcentral is "Proteobacteria bacterium partial 16S ribosomal RNA". It matches the Rfam family "Bacterial small subunit ribosomal RNA", at positions 355 to 776 of the family's 1533-position model. The record is from RNAcentral. Lineage: Bacteria; Pseudomonadati; Pseudomonadota.
UGGGGAAUAUUGGACAAUGGGCGAAAGCCUGAUCCAGCCAUGCCGCGUGUGUGAAGAAGGUCUUCGGAUUGUAAAGCACUUUAAGUUGGGAGGAAGGGCAGUAAGCGAAUACCUUGCUGUUUAGACGUUACCGACAGAAUAAGCACCGGCUAACUCUGUGCCAGCAGCCGCGGUAAUACAGAGGGUGCAAGCGUUAAUCGGAAUUACUGGGCGUAAAGCGCGCGUAGGUUGUUCGUUAAGUUGAAUGUGAAAGCCCCGGGCUCAACCUGGGAACUGCAUCCAAAACUGGCGAGCUAGAGUAGGGCAGAGGGUGGUGGAAUUUCCUGUGUAGCGGUGAAAUGCGUAGAUAUAGGAAGGAACACCAGUGGCGAAGGCGACCACCUGGGCUCAUACUGACACUGAGGUGCGAAAGCGUGGGGAGCAAACAGG